GUUGAACGCUGGCGGCAUGCCUUACACAUGCAAGUCGAACGGCAGCGGACCUUCGGGUGCCGGCGAGUGGCGAACGGGUGAGUAAUAUAUCGGAACGUACCUUUCAGUGGGGGAUAACGUAGCGAAAGUUACGCUAAUACCGCAUAUUCUGUGAGCAGGAAAGCAGGGGAUCGCAAGACCUUGCGCUGAUUGAGCGGCCGAUAUCAGAUUAGCUAGUUGGUGAGGUAAAGGCUCACCAAGGCGACGAUCUGUAGCGGGUCUGAGAGGAUGAUCCGCCACACUGGAACUGAGACACGGUCCAGACUCCUACGGGAGGCAGCAGUGGGGAAUUUUGGACAAUGGGCGCAAGCCUGAUCCAGCCAUGCCGCGUGAGUGAAGAAGGCC
This 384-nucleotide ribosomal RNA is filed under the name uncultured bacterium. Its description in RNAcentral is "bacterial SSU rRNA". It matches the Rfam family "Bacterial small subunit ribosomal RNA", at positions 28 to 416 of the family's 1533-position model. The record is from RNAcentral.